This 445-nucleotide ribosomal RNA is filed under the name uncultured bacterium. RNAcentral's name for it is "partial 16S ribosomal RNA". It matches the Rfam family "Bacterial small subunit ribosomal RNA", at positions 354 to 796 of the family's 1533-position model. The record is from RNAcentral.
GUAGGGAAUAUUGGGCAAUGGAGGCAACUCUGACCCAGCCAUGCCGCGUGCAGGAUGACGGCCCUCUGGGUUGUAAACUGCUUUUAUACGGGAAGAAAAAAUACUACGUGUAGUAUACUGAUGGUACCGUAAGAAUAAGGAUCGGCUAACUCCGUGCCAGCAGCCGCGGUAAUACGGAGGAUCCAAGCGUUGUCCGGAUUUAUUGGGUUUAAAGGGUGCGUAGGCGGAUCUUUAAGUCAGUGGUGAAAGCCUGCAGCUUAACUGUAGAAUUGCCAUUGAAACUGAAGAUCUUGAAUGUGGUUAAAGUAGGCGGAAUGUAUCAUGUAGCGGUGAAAUGCUUAGAUAUGAUACAGAACACCGAUAGCGAAGGCAGCUUGCUGAACCAUUAUUGACGCUGAGGCACGAAAGCGUGGGGAGCGAACAGGAUUAGAUACCCUAGUAGUCC